UAUUUUGCGGUUUGUUGUCGGAUGUCGAAAAUUUCCAGAAGGAUUAUAAAAUUGUGCGAAAAUUCUUGAAAAUGUUUUCAUGUAAAACUUUGAUAAUAAAACAUAAAAUUUGAAAGAUCUCAACAAAACUAGCUGAUAAAAUGGACGGAAAUAGAUUUAUUACCUCCUUGGCCAAGUUGAGACUUGAGAUCUCAGACAGAUUAUUUGUGAAAAUAGAACAUGGGGUUCACAGUUUCCAAUUCUAUGUGUUAGAAAAACAAGUUCAAAUUCGUUUCUGGUGUGAUCGCCAUAACGCAAGCCGGAUUACCGGCGCAUCUGGUAUGACAAGUAGGACAUCUGUAACGAAUAAAGCGACAUCGGUGGCAGAAUCUAGGCACUUUGUGACAAACGACU
This 393-nucleotide long non-coding RNA is filed under the name Dendronephthya gigantea. RNAcentral's name for it is "uncharacterized LOC114528760, transcript variant X2". The record is from RNAcentral. Lineage: Eukaryota; Metazoa; Cnidaria; Anthozoa; Malacalcyonacea; Nephtheidae.